RNAcentral lists this ribosomal RNA (543 nucleotides) under Actinobacillus hominis. Its description in RNAcentral is "bacterial SSU rRNA". It matches the Rfam family "Bacterial small subunit ribosomal RNA", at positions 35 to 567 of the family's 1533-position model. The record is from RNAcentral. Lineage: Bacteria; Pseudomonadati; Pseudomonadota; Gammaproteobacteria; Pasteurellales; Pasteurellaceae.
GCUGGCGGCAGGCUUAACACAUGCAAGUCGAACGGUAGCACAAAGGAGCUUGCUCCUUGGGUGACGAGUGGCGGACGGGUGAGUAAUGCUUGGGAAUCUGGCUCAUGGAGGGGGAUAACUACGGGAAACUGUAGCUAAUACCGCGUAAUAUCUUCGGAUUAAAGAGUGGGACCNCAAGGCCACUUGCCAUGAGAUGAGCCCAAGUGGGAUUAGGUAGUUGGUGGGGUAAAGGCCUACCAAGCCGACGAUCUCUAGCUGGUCUGAGAGGAUGACCAGCCACACUGGAACUGAGACACGGUCCAGACUCCUACGGGAGGCAGCAGUGGGGAAUAUUGCACAAUGGGGGGAACCCUGAUGCAGCCAUGCCGCGUGAAUGAAGAAGGCCUUCGGGUUGUAAAGUUCUUUCGGUAGCGAGGAAGGUGGUAAUGUUAAUAGCAUUAUCAAUUGACGUUAACUACAGAAGAAGCACCGGCUAACUCCGUGCCAGCAGCCGCGGUAAUACGGAGGGUGCGAGCGUUAAUCGGAAUAACUGGGCGUAAAGGG